Pseudogymnoascus pannorum is the source of this 97-nucleotide transfer RNA. It matches the Rfam family "tRNA". From Rfam's summary of the family: Transfer RNA (tRNA) molecules are approximately 80 nucleotides in length. NCBI's taxonomy places the organism in Eukaryota, Fungi, Ascomycota, Leotiomycetes, Thelebolales, Thelebolaceae. The record is from Rfam.
GGUUGUAUAGUGUAGUUGGUUAUCACAUCGGAUUCUGAUCAUGCGAUUCAUUCGCUCAAUCAUUCCGGGGACCUGAGUUCGAAUCUCGGUACGACCU